AUGAAAAUUUUACAAACUUAGCCGGACGGUACAUAAAAAUUUUAGGGGAAAUUUAAAACAUUUCAUAUUUAUAAUUGAAUUCUCCAGAAUUUAAACCCUAAACCUACAUUUUGGUUUAUCUUCUCCCUUCUCUCUCCUAUUGCGAUUUGGGUUUGGGUUCGUCUGGUUCAUGGGUUAGGGUUCGUCUGGUUCGUGGGUUGUUUGGGUUCGUCUGGUUAGUGGGUUUAGGUUCGUGGAUUUGGGUUCUUCUGGUUCGUGGGGGUGGUUUUAGGGGUUUCAGAUCUAGUUUGUGGGAGGUGGCGUGAGUUUCGUGGGGAUGGGCCGGGUCUUCGUGGUUGGUGGAUCUGAUUUCAUGGGUAGUUGUGGGUUUGGUUUCGUGGGAGUGGCGUGGGUGAUUUCGUGGUGGUGGCUUAAUUGGGAUUAAUUCAAUUUGUGGGUUUCGUGGGUGGUCUAGGUGGUGUCGAGUUUUGUGGUGGUGGGGGAUUAAUUCAAUUCGUGGUGGUGGUGGUCCGAUUGGGGUUUUCGUGGUUUUGGUGGUUGUUUCCGGUGGGUUCUGGGUUUUCGGUGGUGGUAAAUUACUUGUUAUUGCUAGAAAUGUUAAUACUUGUUGUUUUUGCUGUUUUAAGCUUCAAAUUUGCUGCAGGUUGAUUGAAUCUAUGAAAAAGACGUGUAGUUUUUGCUAAGUAUAUUUUGGGGCCAGUGCUAAGUCAAAUUCUAUGUUCAUUCUAAAAGUUAAAGUUGUUUGAUUAUUAUUGAAGAAAAUAGGGGAGGGGAUCAAAUGGGUUUACUUUAAGGAGGUAGAGCGGGAGGAAAGUGCUCAAUCAAGAAGAGAAGAACGAACAACAAGUGGAACAACCUUACAUAUGAAGAUUAAACUUUGUAAUGGUCUUGAUUGUCCAAGCUUGAAGAUUCUUGAUGCCAGUUUGAACUGAGACAACUGUAUAUUUUAAAUAGAGGUGGCCUGGUGAAAGUGGUGAUAAUGCAUAGUCCAUUUUUGUUUAAAAAGAUGUGAAGUGCACUUUGUAUUAUAAGCAGGCAUACAUUAGAUUUUUGUACUAUUAACUAUAUUAUGAGACAAUAUGAAUAGAAAUUUAAUAUAAAUUCUUUUGUACAAGUAUUUUAAUUAUGUAUUUAAUUUUGAAUCAUAUAUAAAUUAGUUGGACAGGGUUCUUUAGUUAAUACAAAGACAUUGAUGCUAAAGAGUGUCUAAUAUUUGAACGUUCCAAUACUAGAGCACUUUUGUUAUGUUGAAGCCUAUCUUUAGUAUCGGAAAUUUCCGAUACUAAAGGGAACUUUUGAAGCUAGGAAAAACUAUUGUAACUGUAAUUACAGAUACUAUAGUGAUUCUUUAGUAUCGGAAACCAAGUUGAUACUAAAGAUCUAACUCUUUUGUAUCGGAAUUUCUGUUACUAAUUAUCUGAUACUAGUUAUAUUUCCGAUACUAAAGGUACCCCUUUUUAGUAUCGGAUUGAAGAACGGAUACCAACACAUUAGCCACGGAGGUAUUAGUAUCCGUUUAGUGUCGGAAAUUAUUUCCGAUACUAAUGACCUUUGGUAUCGGAAAACAAGCUUUUAGUAUCGAUUAAUUUCUGAUACUAAAGACCGAUUUUCUAGUAGUGUAUGAUGCAAUUUUUUGUUCUGUUCCGAUGCAAUUUUUUUUUUGUCCUCUGCUUUUGUAUUAUUUGCUCUUGUUUUGCUGUUGCCCCCUCCCUCAUGCUGCUCCUCUACUUCUGCCUUCCUUUUGCUGCUACCUUGCUGCUUCCCCCUUCCCUUCUGCUAUUCCCCUGCUGCUGCCCCUUUCCUUUCUGUUGCUUCCCUGCUGGUUAUUAAACAUUCUUUUUCCUUUCAAUUUUUCUCCCUGACUCAGAUUUAGGCUACUGUCACAAAGAGGAAAGUAAAGGCAACUUUAAGUUCAGUUACAUGAGUUUGAAUUUCAUGACUGUCUUUAUUCUAAAUUAGAACUUCUAAAGCUGGUUAUUAAGGAUUGAAUUUAUACUAUCAGUAGCAGGAGGAGAUAGGUUAGGUGCAUAAAGUCGAGGAACUACUAAACUAGGAAGUAUUGUGGAUUUUUUUUCUUAAGAAAUUCUGAUUUCUGGAGCUCCCUCUCUUUGGAGACAUCUCUCAACUAGCUUUCACAAUGUGUAGUUAACUAAGCCUCAGCAUUAUAUCAACAUUUGUUUAUACUUCUUUUGGUGAAAUGGAAUGGUAUUUUUGCUGCUUUGGAAAAUAUAACUAUCUCAUGUGGUCCUUUAGGAUAAAGUCAGUAAUUUAGCAAGGAUACGAGAUACAGAAUUUGUUUAUUAUUUUUAUAGCAUUUAUGAAAUGCUUCCCCAACAUUGGUUUAUUAUUUUUACAACAUUUAUAUU
Chenopodium quinoa (quinoa) is the source of this 2366-nucleotide long non-coding RNA. RefSeq lists it as uncharacterized. NCBI's taxonomy places the organism in Eukaryota, Viridiplantae, Streptophyta, Magnoliopsida, Caryophyllales, Amaranthaceae. The record is from RefSeq and is a predicted model, not a curated record. The transcript is spliced from 3 exons.